UGUAAUGUGGUGUAGAUUGCAUAUUAUGUUUUGGUCAUGAUGGAGGUUUGUUACCCGUUACAU
Molecule: transfer RNA, 63 nt
Filed under: Explanatum explanatum
Lineage: Eukaryota; Metazoa; Platyhelminthes; Trematoda; Plagiorchiida; Paramphistomidae
Description: tRNA-Gln
Source: RNAcentral